Molecule: ribosomal RNA, 443 nt
Filed under: uncultured bacterium
Lineage: Bacteria
Description: partial 16S ribosomal RNA
Rfam family: Bacterial small subunit ribosomal RNA
Source: RNAcentral
CCUACGGGGCGCAGCAGUGGGGGAUAUUGGACAAUGGGGGGAACCCUGAUCCAGCGACGCCGCGUGAGUGAAGAAGUAUUUCGGUACGUAAAGCUCUGUCAGCAGGGAAGAAAGCAAUGACGGUACCUGACCAAGAAGCCCCGGCUAACUACGUGCCAGCAGCCGCGGUAAUACGUAGGGGGCAAGCGUUAUCCGGAAUUACUGGGUGUAAAGGGAGCGUAGACGGCUGUGCAAGUCUGGAGUGAAAGGCGGGGGCCCAACCCCCGGACUGCUCUGGAAACUGGAUGGCUGGAGUGCAGGAGAGGUAAGCGGAAUUCCUAGUGUAGCGGUGAAAUGCGUAGAUAUUAGGAGGAACACCAGUGGCGAAGGCGGCUUACUGGACUGUAACUGACGUUGAGGCUCGAAAGCGUGGGGAGCAAACAGGAUUAGAUACCCCUGUAGUC